RNAcentral lists this ribosomal RNA (564 nucleotides) under uncultured Glomeromycotina. RNAcentral describes it as "SSU rRNA". It matches the Rfam family "Eukaryotic small subunit ribosomal RNA", at positions 548 to 1114 of the family's 1831-position model. Lineage: Eukaryota; Fungi; Glomeromycota. The record is from RNAcentral.
UUGGAGGGCAAGUCUGGUGCCAGCAGCCGCGGUAAUUCCAGCUCCAAUAGCGUAUAUUAAAGUUGUUGCAGUUAAAAAGCUCGUAGUUGAAUUUCGGGAUCAGAGUGUCGGUCGUGCCUCGGUACGCACUGGUAUUAUUGGUUCCUACCUUCUGAAGAACCGCGAUGUCAUUAAUUUGGUGUCGUGGGGAAUCAGGACUGUUACUUUGAAAAAAUUAGAGUGUUUAAAGCAGGCUUACGCUUGAAUACAUUAGCAUGGAAUAAUGAAAUAGGACGUUUGAUUCUAUUUUGUUGGUUUCUAGGAUUGACGUAAUGAUUAAUAGGGAUAGUUGGGGGCAUUAGUAUUCAAUUGUCAGAGGUGAAAUUCUUGGAUUUAUUGAAGACUAACUACUGCGAAAGCAUUUGCCAAGGAUGUUUUCAUUAAUCAAGAACGAAAGUUAGGGGAUCGAAGACGAUCAGAUACCGUCGUAGUCUUAACCAUAAACUAUGCCGACUAGGGAUCGGAUGAUGUUAAUUUUUUAAUGACUCAUUCGGCGCCUUGCGGGAAACCAAAGUGUUUGGGUUC